Molecule: ribosomal RNA, 880 nt
Filed under: Salmonella enterica
Lineage: Bacteria; Pseudomonadati; Pseudomonadota; Gammaproteobacteria; Enterobacterales; Enterobacteriaceae
Also listed under: 1 other name
Description: partial 23S ribosomal RNA
Rfam family: Bacterial large subunit ribosomal RNA
Source: RNAcentral
CCCCGGUAAACGGCGGCCGUAACUAUAACGGUCCUAAGGUAGCGAAAUUCCUUGUCGGGUAAGUUCCGACCUGCACGAAUGGCGUAAUGAUGGCCAGGCUGUCUCCACCCGAGACUCAGUGAAAUUGAACUCGCUGUGAAGAUGCAGUGUACCCGCGGCAAGACGGAAAGACCCCGUGAACCUUUACUAUAGCUUGACACUGAACAUUGAGCCUUGAUGUGUAGGAUAGGUGGGAGGCUUUGAAGUGUGGACGCCAGUCUGCAUGGAGCCGACCUUGAAAUACCACCCUUUAAUGUUUGAUGUUCUAACGUGGACCCGUAAUCCGGGUUGCGGACAGUGUCUGGUGGGUAGUUUGACUGGGGCGGUCUCCUCCUAAAGAGUAACGGAGGAGCACGAAGGUUGGCUAAUCCUGGUCGGACAUCAGGAGGUUAGUGCAAUGGCAUAAGCCAGCUUGACUGCGAGCGUGACGGCGCGAGCAGGUGCGAAAGCAGGUCAUAGUGAUCCGGUGGUUCUGAAUGGAAGGGCCAUCGCUCAACGGAUAAAAGGUACUCCGGGGAUAACAGGCUGAUACCGCCCAAGAGUUCAUAUCGACGGCGGUGUUUGGCACCUCGAUGUCGGCUCAUCACAUCCUGGGGCUGAAGUAGGUCCCAAGGGUAUGGCUGUUCGCCAUUUAAAGUGGUACGCGAGCUGGGUUUAGAACGUCGUGAGACAGUUCGGUCCCUAUCUGCCGUGGGCGCUGGAGAACUGAGGGGGGCUGCUCCUAGUACGAGAGGACCGGAGUGGACGCAUCACUGGUGUUCGGGUUGUCAUGCCAAUGGCACUGCCCGGUAGCUAAAUGCGGAAGAGAUAAGUGCUGAAAGCAUCUAAGCACGAAACUUGC